UACGUAGGGUGCGAGCGUUGUCCGGAAUUAUUGGGCGUAAAGAGCGUGUAGGCGGCCAGGUAGGUCGGUUGUGAAAACUCGAGGCUCAACCUCGAGAUGUCGACCGAAACCAUCUGGCUAGAGUCCGGAAGAGGAGAAUGGAAUUCCCGGUGUAGCGGUGAAAUGCGCAGAUAUCGGGAAGAACACCCGUGGCGAAGGCGGUUCUCUGGGACGGUACUGACGCUGAGGCGCGAAAGCGUGGGGAGCGAACAGG
Molecule: ribosomal RNA, 253 nt
Filed under: uncultured bacterium
Lineage: Bacteria
Description: partial 16S ribosomal RNA
Rfam family: Bacterial small subunit ribosomal RNA
Source: RNAcentral